CCUACGGGAGGCAGCAGCUAAGAAUAUUCCGCAAUGGACGAAAGUCUGACGGAGCGACGCCGCGUGGACGAGGAAGGCCGGAAGGUUGUAAAGUCCUUUUAUGACUGAGGAAUAAGCAGAGUGAGAGAAACGCUUUGUGGUGACUGUAGGUCAUGAAUAAGCAACGCCUAAUUACGUGCCAGCAGCCGCGGUAAU
This 195-nucleotide ribosomal RNA is filed under the name uncultured bacterium. RNAcentral describes it as "partial 16S ribosomal RNA". It matches the Rfam family "Bacterial small subunit ribosomal RNA", at positions 338 to 524 of the family's 1533-position model. The record is from RNAcentral.